ACACGACUACAUUAGACUACCCUGUAGUCCUAGGCGUAAAUGAUGCGAGUUAAGUGGUGGGGGCAUCUACGAGAUGGCCCUGUGCUGUAGGGUAGCCGUUAAACUCGCUGCCGUGGGAGUACGGUCGCAAGGCUAGAAACUUAAAGGAAUUGGCGGGGAGCACCACAAGAGGUGGAGGCUGCGGUUCAAUUGGACUCAACGCCGGAAAACUCAUCGGGAGCGACAGCAGUAUGAUUGCCAGGUUGAUGACCUUGCUUGACAAGCUG
RNAcentral lists this ribosomal RNA (266 nucleotides) under uncultured archaeon. RNAcentral's name for it is "partial 16S ribosomal RNA". It matches the Rfam family "Archaeal small subunit ribosomal RNA", at positions 717 to 982 of the family's 1478-position model. The record is from RNAcentral.